This 907-nucleotide long non-coding RNA is filed under the name Homo sapiens (human). RNAcentral's name for it is "novel transcript". Lineage: Eukaryota; Metazoa; Chordata; Mammalia; Primates; Hominidae. The record is from RNAcentral.
CAGAGAGGUCUCUUUCCACCAUGUAAGGAUAAAAGUACACGGAGAAGAUGGCAAUCUGCAAACUGGAAAAGGGCCCUCCUCAGAACCUGACCAUCUUGGCACCUUGAUCUCAGACUUCCAUCUUCCAGAACUGUGAGAAAUAAAUUUCUUUUAUAAACACUCAGUCAAUGCUACUUUAUUAUAGCAGCCUGAAUGGAUUAAGACAGGUGGUCUGGUUUAAAGUGAUGUGGUGGCAUCAGAAGUUUAAGGAGAGACUGGAUUUACAGAACCAGAAUCUGGGAUGCUGUUUACAGAGCAAGUUAUUUCCUGCAUUUGGACACUGUCAGCAGGUCGAUUCAGGAGACAGGUGAAAACUUUAUCACCGGGCAGCCUGGAUGAACACCACAACUUUGAUAUCUUUCACUUAAAGGAAAGAUAAGGGCAUCCACUAUUUCUACACCUGGCUGGCAGAGUGAGAGCUCACCAAAGGUGGCCACCCUGGUUGCUGUGGGACACCUGUCUCCUCCUGCCGUCCAAAAGAGCAAGAAGCACUAAACUCUGUCUUCGGUCAGCAUGACUCUCAGCCCAUGUAAGCUCACCUUGGCUGUACCCCGAGGAGGGAGAUCAAAGUAUAUGUUCCUACUGUCAGCUUUACUCACAUCCACAUCUUCUCCCUGCAUGUCCUUGGGUUGGAAGGAACAGCUUAUUUUUUGUCCUACAUCAGUGGUUCUUAAACUUUACUGUACCAAGAAAGCUUUUAAAAAAUGCUGAUGAUUGGGGCCUGCAGAUUCUCAGUCACUGAUCUGGAUAUGUCCUGCAUGUAAGAGUGUUUUGCAAAUCGUUUCUAAUGUGCAACCAGGAUUACAAAACGUUAUCUUGUAUCCUGAGUUCUCUCUACUCUUGGCAUAAAAUUAAAAUCUGUUAUAUC